RNAcentral lists this ribosomal RNA (272 nucleotides) under uncultured Pseudomonadales bacterium. RNAcentral describes it as "partial 16S ribosomal RNA". It matches the Rfam family "Bacterial small subunit ribosomal RNA", at positions 524 to 795 of the family's 1533-position model. Lineage: Bacteria; Pseudomonadati; Pseudomonadota; Gammaproteobacteria; Pseudomonadales. The record is from RNAcentral.
UACAGAGGGUGCGAGCGUUAAUCGGAUUUACUGGGCGUAAAGCGUGCGUAGGCGGCUUUUUAAGUCGGAUGUGAAAUCCCUGAGCUUAACUUAGGAAUUGCAUUCGAUACUGGGAAGCUAGAGUAUGGGAGAGGAUGGUAGAAUUCCAGGUGUAGCGGUGAAAUGCGUAGAGAUCCGGAGGAAUACCGAUGGCGAAGGCAGCCAUCUGGCCUAAUACUGACGCUGAGGUACGAAAGCAUGGGGAGCAAACAGGAUUAGAUACCCUGGUAGUC